UUUUUUUCCGAAUAGAACUUGAUUCUCGGGGACUGACCACUCUGUCCUGAGUUUAGUCCGUGAUUUUACACUGCACCGAGUGGUCACCAUCAUCCGCUACAACAAACAAUAUUUUUGACGAAUUAAGAUGGAGUGGAGGUGACUGUUGAGACAUUGUCAUUCUGGGAUGGACGUUACGAAUGGAGACAUUCAUGGAAGGGCUUCGGGGGAUGCCUUUCUCAAUUGUAGGGAGGUGCAGUAAAAUUUGAAGGGACCAUGGCGCGCCUGCUGGUGUUUUAUCGGAUACGUUAACAGCUUCGUAAAUCAGGCUCGAAGACACUAUUCCGGGAUUUAAAGCAUUUGGAGAAAGACGCCGAUGGAGAAUUGCCUGGCUAGUGGUAUGCUGAAGAGUGGUAGUGGAGAUAAGGUACCCGGGGAAACUGGAGACAUUGAGGGAGAGAAAAAUAUUUGGAAAAGUGGGUGAAAUUUUUUCAGAAAUGUUCGAGAAAAUCAUCGCACGGAGAGUAAUUUUUUGGAAAUAUUACGGACCAUCAUUUGUCAGCCAAAAUAAUAUUCAUUUAAAAUUAUGGAACAAUUACGAUUUUUUUCCCUUAACGUCCCAUACAGGGGAUGAUAUUUUACGUUAAAAUUAGACCUUCAGGGGGAGGGGGAUGAAAUGACUGACCAAGAUUAAUUUUUUCACAAAAAUUAGUUUCCAAGUCAUUGAUUAUCAUUUUAUCCCACGUUUCCCCCUCCAGAGGUUUUAUUUUUAUCCAAAAUUUCUUUCUGUCUACUGUUUCUCGAACGUUCUAAAGUUUUUUCUGAAAGUUUCCUGAAAAAGUGCGUAACUGUUCCGUAAUUUAAAAAAAAUUCUCUCAGUACGGAAUAUCUACCUUCAGAAACGUUUUUUGAAGAAUAUUUGUUAAAUUAAAUUGAGAAUAUGGAACAUGAACGGAAAUGAUUGUUCUUCGUACGAUUAGUUUCUAGCUGAUCAAACAUAUGACACAGCACAUCUCAAUUAUUCAACCGGAGCUGGUGUAUCCAAGAAGACAUCGGCUUUUCCUGAUUCACGGACUCUGAGUGGAUGCACUCAUGACUGGCAAAUGUAGAGGGACUGAGGUGGGAAAGGCUACGGAGAAUAUAAUCUACCCUGUUUGAGGAGAACUGCCACUGACUGCAAGUUAGAACCAACUCUCUGUGUACUUUGGAAACGGCGGAUCCCCAGAUGCCCCCCUCAUUGUCACCCCUCACUUUCGCCAUUCCAUAUGAAUAUCUCUAAAUAAAAAAAUAUUUUUUUCA
Molecule: long non-coding RNA, 1278 nt
Organism: Diachasmimorpha longicaudata
Lineage: Eukaryota; Metazoa; Arthropoda; Insecta; Hymenoptera; Braconidae
Exons: 3
Source: RefSeq, a predicted model, not a curated record